ACGGGUAGCCGGCCUGAGAGGGUGACCGGCCACACUGGGACUGAGACACGGCCCAGACUCCUACGGGAGGCAGCAGUGGGGAAUAUUGCACAAUGGGCGGAAGCCUGAUGCAGCAACGCCGCGUGAGGGAUGACGGCCUUCGGGUUGUAAACCUCUUUUAGCAAGGAAGAAGCGAAAGUGACGGUACUUGCAGAAAAAGCGCCGGCUAACUACGUGCCAGCAGCCGCGGUAAUACGUAGGGCGCAAGCGUUAUCCGGAAUUAUUGGGCGUAAAGAGCUCGUAGGCGGUUUGUCGCGUCUGCUGUGAAAACUGGAGGCUCAACCUCCAGCCUGCAGUGGGUACGGGCAGACUAGAGUGCGGUAGGGGAGAUUGGAAUUCCUGGUGUAGCGGUGGAAUGCGCAGAUAUCAGGAGGAACACCGAUGGCGAAGGCAGAUCUCUGGGCCGUAACUGACGCUGAGGAGCGAAAGGGUGGGGAGCAA
RNAcentral lists this ribosomal RNA (480 nucleotides) under Microbacterium sp. RNAcentral describes it as "bacterial SSU rRNA". It matches the Rfam family "Bacterial small subunit ribosomal RNA", at positions 279 to 771 of the family's 1533-position model. Lineage: Bacteria; Bacillati; Actinomycetota; Actinomycetes; Micrococcales; Microbacteriaceae. The record is from RNAcentral.